Molecule: RNA transcript, 2187 nt
Organism: Andrographis paniculata
Lineage: Eukaryota; Viridiplantae; Streptophyta; Magnoliopsida; Lamiales; Acanthaceae
Gene name: V-type proton ATPase subunit H-like
Exons: 13
Source: RefSeq, a predicted model, not a curated record
CUUAUUUUCUCUCUGCAUCCAAAGACAUAUGUGUAUGAGAGAGAAACGAUAAUUGGGGAUUCUGUGGAUCGUAUACUCAUCUUGUAGCGAUUCCGAUUCCGAUCUGUAGUGAGCAAUUAAUCGGUUUACGAAUUCUGAAUCUUGAAAAUGCCUGCGGAUCAAGGCGAGCUCUCUGUUGAACAGGUAUUGCGAAGGGAUAUUCCAUGGGAGACUUAUAUGACCGCUAAGCUCAUAUCGGGGACGGGGCUUCAGCUGCUGCGGCGCUACGACAAGAAACCGGAGAAUUACAAGGCUCAGUUACUGGAUGAUGAUGGCCCUGCUUAUAUUCGUGUUUUUGUUAGCAUCCUGCGUGACAUAUUCAAGGAAGAAACUGUGGAGUAUGUUUUAGCCCUGAUUGAUGAGAUGCUUUCAGCAAACUCUAAAAGAGCUAGAUUGUUUCAUGAUAAGACUCUUGCUGAUGAGGACAUAUACGAGCCUUUCCUAAGGUUGCUCUCUGAAGGUAAUUGGUUUAUACAAGAGAAGAGCUGUAAAAUACUUUCUUUGAUAGUGAGUGGAAGACCUAAAGCUCAGGAUGGUGCUAUUGCUAAUGGAGCAUCAGGUUCAAAGAAGAAGAUCACAACUAUAGAUGAUGUUUUGAAGGGACUGGUUGACUGGUUGUGUUCACAGCUGAAGAAGCCAUCUCAUCCUACUUGUGGCAUUCCUACAGCUGUUAAUAGCCUAGCAACCUUACUGAAGGAGCCUAUUGUGAGAUUUUCAUUUGUUCAAGCAGAUGGAGUGAAGUUGCUCAUUCCUCUAAUUUCUCCAGCAUCCACUCAACAGUCCAUCCAGCUUCUCUACGAAACCUGCCUUUGUGUAUGGCUCCUGUCCUACUACGAGCCUGCUGUUGAGUACUUGGCUACUUCUAGGUGCUUGCCGCGGUUGAUUGAAGUGGUUAAAGGUUCCACAAAGGAAAAAGUUGUUAGGGUGGUCAUCUUGACUCUUCGGAAUUUGCAACACAAAGGGACAUUUGGUGCUCAGAUGGUGGACCUUGGACUGCCACAGAUUGUUCAGAACUUAAAAGCUCAAGCAUGGAGUGAUGAGGAUCUACUGGAAGCUCUGAAUCAGCUGGAGGAAGGUCUGAAAGACAACAUCAAGAAGCUCAGUUCUUUCGAUAAGUAUAAGCAGGAGGUUCUCCUUGGACAUCUCGACUGGUCACCCAUGCACAAAGACCCUAUAUUCUGGCGGGAGAACAUCACAAGCUUUGAGGAGCAUGACUUCCAGAUCCUAAGGGUCCUUCUCACUAUCUUGGACACAUCCACCGAUCCCAGAACACUUGCUGUUGCUUGCUAUGAUCUCUCACAAUUUAUUCAGUGCCACCCCGCUGGACGCGUCAUUGUGACCGACCUUAAGGCUAAGGACCGUGUUAUGAAACUGAUGAAUCACGAGAAUGCCGAGGUCACUAAAAAUGCCUUGCUCUGCAUCCAGAGGCUCUUUCUUGGUGCCAAAUAUGCAAGCUUUCUGCAAGCAUGAUUCUUCCUACCACAAGCCAUCAAUUCUACAAGUUCACAAGAUGGCAAGAAUUUACGAAAAGACAUGAAAGCAUUAAUAAUUGCGUGCUCGUGAUGUGGCGUAAUUAUUAGGAACACACCAGAAAAGCGCCACACAGUGAGAAGUCGCAUUAUGAAUUGAGAAAAGUCGCAUUUAUGAAUCGCCGCCACGUGUUAGGUUGACAGUAGCGCUUUUCGCGCGGCAGAUGAAGUCGUCAUUAAUCGCCCGCGCAAAAGGAGUUGGAGAAGAAGACAGUGAUUGAUGAUGGUGUUGAUUUGAAUUCGAAUUCCGAAGACGGACCGAAAAGUUUCCAGAGCAUUCCUACGAUCUCAUCCCUGCUUCCUCUGGUUACUAUUACCAAGGAGCUCCUCCUCCUGUAAUGGCACCGCCACAGUACACGGCUCCCCCUCCGCAAAGGCAAAUCGGAUGCCUUGAAGGAUGGUACAUACAUAAACACACAGCUAAUUAAUUCCUAGUUAUCGAUCUCUACAGAUCGCCCUAAUUUAGUUCAUAGCUAGAAUCCUAUUUUCUUCUUCUUCUUCUUCUUCUUGAGCUACCUGAUCUCCUCCUCCUCUAUGAUCUUUCUAAUUAACAUACCUUCUUCAAUGAUUUAUGCGUGUAGCCUUGCAGCCAUGUGUUGCUGUUGUUUGAUCGAUGAAU